RNAcentral lists this ribosomal RNA (19 nucleotides) under Parasola misera. Its description in RNAcentral is "Parasola miser partial 18S ribosomal RNA". Lineage: Eukaryota; Fungi; Basidiomycota; Agaricomycetes; Agaricales; Psathyrellaceae. The record is from RNAcentral.
GGUGUUGCUGGCUCUUAGG